This 253-nucleotide ribosomal RNA is filed under the name uncultured prokaryote. RNAcentral describes it as "partial 16S ribosomal RNA". It matches the Rfam family "Bacterial small subunit ribosomal RNA", at positions 524 to 776 of the family's 1533-position model. The record is from RNAcentral.
UACGAGUGCCCCGAGCGUUAUCCGGAAUCAUUGGGCGUAAAGGGUGUGUAGGUGGUCGCGUUAGUCAAUUGUUAAAACCCGAGGCUCAACCUCGGACCGGCGAUUGAAACGGCACGACUAGAGGAUGCGAGGGAUGUAUGGAACUCAUGGAGUAGGGGUGAAAUCCGUUGAUAUCAUGGGGAACACCAAAAGCGAAGGCAGUACAUUGGCGCAUUCCUGACACUGAAACACGAAAGCGUGGGUAGCGAAUGGG